Non-coding RNA from Sarcophilus harrisii (Tasmanian devil), 46 nucleotides. NCBI's taxonomy places the organism in Eukaryota, Metazoa, Chordata, Mammalia, Dasyuromorphia, Dasyuridae. The record is from Rfam.
CCAAAGGCUCUUUUAAGAGCCACCUUCGUUUUCACAGAAUUGCUGU